CCCAGGUGUCCGAGCCCAGGGUGCUAAGAGGGUGGUCCCGCACACUGGACGAGUGCCCUGAGGCUCAUGACAAAGGACCGCAAACCUGCCCCUGGCAACAACAGAAAUAUCUUCGUUUGCAGCUCUGCAGCUGGAGGGGGUCUGCCUGGCCCAGGGGAGUGGCCUCAGGGACCUGGUCUGGGCUGUGGCCCAGGAGACAGAGCGGUUCUCCGCAAUCAUCAGGCCUGCGGACCCGAGAACAUCCAAAGCCACGUCUAACCCCCCCUGCUGCAGUGGCCUCUGGUGAUCACACUCUUCAUAAGCACCGGCUCGUGCCGUGACCUGCAAACACAGGCCACCUAAGUCCCUCGGUCCGUGGGGGCCACCACCAUAUUGGUCUGGGUGGGCCGGGCUUGCCGCCGGAGCAGAGACUUUAGUCAUUGGAUUGAGGCCGCCGCUAAUCUAGGAUGGUGUCACUUUGAGGUUCUUUAAUCACAUCUGCAAAGACCUCUUUUUGAACACGGUCACAUUCACGACCCACAUCUGGGAUCAGGAUGGGGACAUAUUUUUUGGAGAGAUGCUAUUCCACCCAGUACAGGGGCGCUGGUGACACUCAGCCAGGCUCUCGGGGGAGGCCCGGCCCCUCGGCCCCCUGUGUCAUACACUCUGGCUAACGGUCGCAACGGGGAUCUGACCACCCUGCCCCUCAGAGGACGGACGGAGCCAGGAGGCCAGCAGCCGGUGGCGGAUCUUUCCUCCCUGCUGGCUCUGUGCCCUGCACAGACGCAUCUUGCAGGCCCGGCCCCUCGGCAGUCCCUCUCUGCCACGAGUCAGCAGCGGGGAGCAAGGUGGCGGCGACUGAUAACCCCUCAGAACCUCGGCUUCCUCGUCUGCGGAGGGGAGAUAAUCACGUCUCCCCCACAUCCAUGGAGGCAGCCGAGGGGAAGGAGGCUCGGAGUGCCCGUCCCUCACCUGUGACGGGCCCGGCCCCCCCCCCCCACACACACCCGCGGUCCCUCAGGGGCUGGAGUUAAGGCUUGCUGAGACCGAUUCCUCCCUGGGGCUCUGCUGGGAGCUCGAGACCGGGGCGAGGGGUGUGCACCUGCACGUCCAGGGCCCUGGACCUGGAGGGAGUGGCCCUGUGGGAGGGACCUGGGGGGGAGGGGCACCGGGGAGAAGACGGGCC
This is a long non-coding RNA of Panthera uncia (snow leopard), 1165 nucleotides long. RefSeq lists it as uncharacterized. The record is from RefSeq and is a predicted model, not a curated record. The transcript is spliced from 3 exons. NCBI's taxonomy places the organism in Eukaryota, Metazoa, Chordata, Mammalia, Carnivora, Felidae.